Long non-coding RNA from Gallus gallus (chicken), 265 nucleotides. NCBI's taxonomy places the organism in Eukaryota, Metazoa, Chordata, Aves, Galliformes, Phasianidae. The record is from Ensembl.
CAGAAACUGCAUGAACCUCCCUCCCUGAGGGACAGGACAUGGACAAGCGUGUGACACUGAUACAGUGCACGAGGCACUCGCAUUUCAAGCUCAUCAGCCUGGGAUAAGGACCUAAGCAGAACAGUAGAGGGGCAUUAUUUUCUUUUGGGUAUCCAAGGUCCCAUAUGUGGGAUCAGAAAUGGGAAGAAAUGUUCCCCCAUAGCCAUUCUGCAAGGGACGAGACUGCUGCAGCAAGGGCUGGUGCUUGAUUUCUGCUCCUAUGGGC